Long non-coding RNA from Cyprinus carpio carpio, 2834 nucleotides. NCBI's taxonomy places the organism in Eukaryota, Metazoa, Chordata, Actinopteri, Cypriniformes, Cyprinidae. The record is from Ensembl.
UUUUCCCCUUGAUUACACAUAUUGUGCAAAUUGGCUUCAUUACUUAACUUUACUUUUACGGGCAUUUGCAGUCAGCUUGAGGUUUCCUGCUUCGUUACUGAUGUCACAAAGAUGUUUCCAGAGCUCACUCAAGUAUAAAGAGACAGGGGGGAUACCUCCACAGUUAUUACAUGACACAAUGAUUAUCACACUUAUUAGAAUCUUUACAUAUAUCCCGCUAGGACUGGCUCUGCGUGUGUCUCAGCCUUAUCGUGUGGUUGGGAAAGAGGGAGAAGUCCCCCUCCGCUGCUCCUUCAGUUCAAAGUUAAAGCCUGAGGAAAUGUGGGUAUCUCUAUACAAAGGUUUGCACGACCCUGAGAGGAUCUGCAGCGCUUAUGUCAAACUCGCUGAGCCCUACUUCGCAACAGAUGGCACAGUUAAUUGCAGAGGGAAUAUUAGCUCUGGAAGAGUGGACAUGAUCAUCGCUGGACUGCGAGGGAACGACACAGACCUCUAUCGCUGUGAGAUCGAGGUUCUCUUCCCACCUCCCUAUCUCAGAACCAUUGGGAGCGGCACUGUUGUUUACAUACAAGAAACUCCAAGCUGCCCCACUGCAUCCACCCAGAGCCAGAUUCAGAGCCAGAGCCAGACUUCAGAGCGGGAAGCUGUCAAAAAUGAUGUAGGCCCACUUCCUCUGCUAUAUGCCAUCCUAAUCAUCACUUCCUGCAGUUUAAUUCUACAGAUGAUCGCCUGCAGAUGGAGGGCCUCUACAGCCACGGCACCUAUGCUUUCACAAAAAGAGAGCUAUAUGAAAUUCUAAGGGGAUAUUAUCUCCGUUUGCAUGUACUCACAUGUAUUCUAACCUGCAUGUACUCCCCAGACAGCAACAUAGUGUUGGCCUAGAUUUGGAUCUGGGACGACACUGCAUGCUGUCUGGGUCACAUGUCAUUUUCUCCUGCAUGUAUUUUCAUGUAAUUUUAACCUGCAUGUAUUGGCAUGUACUCACUGUGUUUUUUAAUUACAUGUACUCACAUGAAUUCUCACUUGCAUGUAUUCACAUGUAUUUACACAACAUUUGACCACUGUUUUUGUUAUUUCGUUUUCUUUAUAUUUUAUUAGAAUGAAAUAAACAUAUUUACAUUUAACCCGUGUGCUGUACUGAAAAUCCUGUCACGAGUUUGCCUGACUGACCCAUUGGGGUACUCAGGGGCGGACUGACCAUCUGGACGUUCUGGAGAAGUCCAAGCCUGGCUGGUUCAUCAUCAAAGAAAAAGGGUCAGAUUAAGUGACGCUGACGGCCGACAAAAGAGACCAAAACUGAUGCAAAGGAAAAAAAGCGAACAGUUACAUCAGCAAAAACAAACCGAAGAGCUUCGGCCAGCAUCACACUGUCAAACUGAUGAGGAUACGUCAACAUGCCUGACAGGUUCACUCUGCUUACUUUCAGCUUUUGUUUCAUACUUCACAAUGUUUGUAGUUGGACCGUGAGUGCACCUCUCAACCACACAUUCAAUGAGGACGACUCUGUCAGUGUCACAUGCAUGUUUAAUGGAGAGGAUCAGUUUCAUUUGGAAGCUAAGUUGAAAAUGAAUGAUGAAUAUGUUUGUGAGGUUUAUAACAAAAGCCAAGUACAGGAUAAACGUAACUGUUUAUGGGAGCGUAAGGACAACAAAUUCACGUUCACCUUAUUGAACCCUGAGGGCUUACACAAAAAUAAUUUUUCCUGUGAGAUGUCCAAAAUUAAACCAUUUCCAGUCACAAUGAAAGUAGGACCAAAAACUAAGCUUUUCCGAGGUUGCAAUAAGUCUUUGGCUCCACUGAAGAACAGCUGUCCAAUCACUAACCAAACAAAUAACCAGGAUCACAGACCUGUAGAAAGUUACACACCUGAAGAAGUGUAUACCCUAUUAAUCUGUGGGCUGAUAAUAGUGGUGGUAAUGCUAUCUGUCUACAGCAUUAUUGUUACGGCAGUCUACAUCAGAUUGAGGGCCAUGAAUCCCGAGUCUUCUGACACACUGACCUAUGUCCCAAUGCAGAGGAAUGUAAACUGGCGUAAUCUAGACAACACCGAAUAUGUGGACAUGCGUGAAGUGCAGAAACGGGGAGGAUCCCAAAGAGAUAUGAACCACAACUCUCAUCAUGCUUUUGCCUGAGCCCAUUUCUAGUGGCAUAAGUGAGCUCAUGCUUUGACUGCUCUGCUGGAUGAAUUUCACUUGGGCCACACUAAAGAAUAACACAGGAUAAAACUAUCGCCUUUCUACCAAACAAAACAGACUUUUCUGAAUGCCUGAAUCUGCAUAUUGCGGCUGCACUGCAUACAUUACGCAGUCUUGAUGUUCUCUGUGUCAGAUGGUUUCAUCUGGUGGCUUGUACAACCUAAUGCUGAAUUGUAGCUAUGCCAAGUUAAAUGUAUAUAAAGUAUCUAACUUGGCAUUUUUUAUUUAUCAUUUUGAUCCCAUGGACCAAUAAUCAAUGAUAAUAAGAGUUUUGUUCAGUGCUUCCCCUCCCCCUCUCCCCCCCAAAAAAAUAAAAAAAAGAAAUUCUAACAAUAAAUAUAUAAAACUGAGACUAUAUUGAAUGAUUAUUUAUAUUUGCUGAUUAUAUGGUUAAGUAAAUAAAGAAAAACACAUUCAGAUAAGAUCUCAUAAAUGUGGUAUGUAUACGUUGAUGUGAGUGACUUAGCGAUAUUAUUGAUUUAGUAAGGAAAUUAUUAACAACCAGUGACCAGUCUGACCACCAGUGUGUUCAUAAAAACUGUAACAUACUGUAAAUCCUUUACGUUUACUACAGUUUGUUUCAAACAUAGACAGAAAGAGAUACUGUAUACAGAAAUAUCUCUUUCCAGAACUACCCAC